This 253-nucleotide ribosomal RNA is filed under the name uncultured bacterium. Its description in RNAcentral is "partial 16S ribosomal RNA". It matches the Rfam family "Bacterial small subunit ribosomal RNA", at positions 524 to 776 of the family's 1533-position model. The record is from RNAcentral.
UACGGAGGGUGCGAGCGUUGUUCGGAAUCACUGGGCGUAAAGCGCGUGUAGGCGGCCCAUUAAGUCUGAUUUGAAAGCCCGGGGCUCACCCCCGGAAGUGCAUUGGAAACUGAUGGACUCGAGUCCCGGAGAGGAGAGUGGAAUUCCUGGUGUAGCGGUGAAAUGCGUAGAUAUCAGGAGGAACACCGGUGGCGAAGGCGGCUCUCUGGACGGUGACUGACGCUGAGACGCGAAAGCGUGGGGAGCAAACAGG